CCUUUCUAAGGAUGAUCAAGAAUGGGCCUAGGCCUUUUUUGAUCUGAUUAGACAUUGACGGUUUAAAGUCUUAUUUAAACCGUUGACAUAUUUUAAACAUUCUAUGAACCGUGGGUUUUGAAUGGAAACUCUGUCCCCUUUAGUGAUACAGAGCAUAACUGUUUUUUAUCCAUGGUUCAUUUGUUUAAAAAUUUAUAAAAAGACUAGCCGCCUUCAUUUCUCUUUCUUCAGAUGAUGAUCCUAAGCCUUCUGGCGAUCUGUUUGCACAAGCCUCUGAGAGGGAUGAAGAUAUUGUUUUCUUUGAUCAGAUUAUGCCGGUAAAGGUUUUCUGGUUUACCCUAUAGGGCUUGUAGCUCAGUUGGUUAGAGCGCGCGCUUGAUAAGCGUGAGGUCGGAGGUUCAAGUCCUCCCAGGCCCACCAGUUACACGAUGCUAAAAGUUGCUAUAUUGGGAGAGUUGAUAAUCCCUUACAGGAAAUUAUUGCCCUUAAUAAAACUUUAUUUUCUAAAAGCAUUCAGAGCUGACAUAGAAUAGAGCUGACAUAGAAUUGAGAAUCUGACAUAGGAAUUAUUGAAAUUGUUUUGGAAUUAUUGAAAUUGUUUUCUAUCAUUUUAAAAGGCUAAAAUAUUCUGUCUCUAUUUUUAAAAUAGCAUCAGGUGUUUUGUAAGAGUGUGAAGUUUUUAAGUGUGAGGUUUUUUAUAUUUUAGUGUGAGGUUUUUAUAAGGGUAUGACGUGAGAGCGUUUUGACCUGUUUUAGGGGCCGUAGCUCAGCUGGGAGAGCACCUGCUUUGCAAGCAGGGGGUCGUCGGUUCGAUCCCGUCCGGCUCCACCAUAAUUUGGUUCAUCAUUAUUGUUAGAAGAAUAGUUAUUGCAAGAGAUUGAGAGAUCUCUUUGCUUGUUCUAUUGAAAUUGUGAAGAAGAAGGUAUAUUCAGACGUUUUUUGCUUGAACUCAUUCUUAUGAAAGAGAUUUUUCUUAUGAAAGAGAUUUUUAAGAAUGGAUAGCUUAAAAAGAAGAAUGGAUGGCUUAAAAAGGUGGCUUAAAAAGGAUGGCUGUUUUUAAAUGAAAAUAGUUAUUUUUACGCUCUUUUGACGAUUGUUACAACAUUAUACGAUUAAAACAUUAUACGAUAAUGAUAAUAACGAUAAUAAAAAGAGCUUUCAUUAAUAAAAAGAGCUUUCAUUAAUAAUAAAGAGCUUUCAUUGAACUUUCAUUGAAGAAGCAUUUUGAGCAAAACAGAUGUGUCGCAAGGAAGAGCUCAAAUUCCUUGCUUAUGAUUGGCAACUUAACCGUGCCAUUGAAUAUAUCUCGAGAAGUUGGUCUUUUCUGCUGAUAUUUUUGUUUUAAGUGCCUAUUGAUGCUAGAUUAUUUUUAAAAAUAAUUUUGUAUUGAUGAUUUUGCACGGAAUAAUUGACGAAUGAAUAUUGGCAAUGAGAAUG
This 1437-nucleotide transfer RNA is filed under the name Bartonella clarridgeiae. RNAcentral describes it as "16S-23S ribosomal RNA intergenic spacer". The stretch from base 344 to 417 matches the Rfam family "tRNA". Lineage: Bacteria; Pseudomonadati; Pseudomonadota; Alphaproteobacteria; Hyphomicrobiales; Bartonellaceae. The record is from RNAcentral.